CAAAUUAAUAAUAAAUGAGAGAUAACAUCGCUGUUUCUUUUUGGAACAGGAAAAAUAAUCUAUCAAUUGACCUAAUCCUUUAAAGCCAAGAUUCCACUUUCACUUGCUUCACUAAGAGGUCACUUAUCCAGAACGAGCUUUGAGUCCCCAUCUUGUGAUAAGGCCUAAGGCCAAUUGCUACGCCCAAGCGUGCCUGGUGGCUGCACCACCUCCACUUUGGUAAGCCGUGUGGUCCUUAGGCAGUGUCGCGCCAAUCGUUGUUGUUGCUGUUACCGUUGUUGUUACAUAGCCAUCCAUUGCUACAAACACAUGUUGUUCUUCUACGCCACUCCCCCUAUCCCACCAACAUAAUCAGUUGCCUUGUUUUUGGAGGAUACUGAUCGAUCCUUCACAGUAUAUGUUGAAUGCGGAAGACCACCAUUGGGCAGAGAUGAUAGAAUGAGUGAAAUGAGUUACCUCAGUUGGUUGCUCCCAGGACUGUCAUUUAUAUAGUCAUAGAAUUGUCUUUCUUGAAGUUGAAUGUAGA
This 526-nucleotide long non-coding RNA is filed under the name Ricinus communis (castor bean). RNAcentral's name for it is "long non-coding RNA (RCOM_LNC002670)". Lineage: Eukaryota; Viridiplantae; Streptophyta; Magnoliopsida; Malpighiales; Euphorbiaceae. The record is from RNAcentral.